GGGGGGGGGGGGGGGGGGGGUUAGAAGGAUUACUUUAUCCUAUCCCAGGUAUUCCUUAAAGAGGUGGGGUUCCAGGUGUCUCCGGAAGGUGGUGAUUGAGUCUGCUGUCCUGGCGUCGUGAGGGAGAUUGUUCCACCAUUGGGGGGCCAGAGCAGCGAACAGUUUUGACUGGGCUGAGCGGGAACUGUGCUUCCGCAGAGGUAGGGAGGCGAGCAGGCCAGAGGUGGAUGAACGCAGUGCCCUUCUUUGGGUGUAGGGACUGAUCAGAGCCUGAAGGUACGGAGGUGCCAUUCCCCUCACAGCUCUGUAGGCAAGCACCAUGGUCUUGUAGCAGAUGCGAGCUUCAACUGGAAGCCAGUGGAGUGUGCGGAGGAGCGGGGUGACGUGAGAUUACUUGGGAAGGUUGAACACCAGACGGGCUGCGGUGUUCUGGAUGAGUUGUAGGGGUUUAAUGGCACAGGCAGGGAGCCCCGCCAACAGCGAGUUGCAGUAAUCCAGACGGGAAAUGACAAGUUAUAUCCUGCCUGUUUGGCCCUGCCCGGGGGUAUCAUCGGAUGGGGGAUGUCUCCAACCACCAACUUACCGUCCUAAGACAAGGCCGAGUAUAGCCCACAACGAUCUCCGCCAUGGCACAACCCAAGGGGGGGGCGCCAACCCAGACAGGAAGACCACGUCAGUGACUCAACCCACUCAAGUGAUGCACCCCUCCCAUGGACGGCAUGGAAGAACACCAGUAAGCCAGUGACUCAGCCCCUGUAAUAGGGUUAGAGGCAGAGAAUCCCAGUAGAAAGAGGGGAACCGGCAAGGCAGAGACAGCAAGGGCGGUUCGUUGCUCCAGCCUUUCCGUUCACCUUCACACUCCUGGGCCAGACUAUACUUAAUCAUAGGACCUACUGAAGAGAUAAGUCUUCAGUAAAGACUUAAAGGUUGAGACUGAGUCUGCGUCUCUCACAUUGGUAGGCAGACCAUUCCAUAAAAAUGGAGCUCUAUACGAGAAAGCCCUACCUCCAGCCGUUUGCUUAGAAAUUCUAGGGACAAUUAGGAGGCCUGCGUCUUGUGACCGUAGCGUACGUGUAGGUAUGUACGGCAGGACCAAAUCGGAAAGAUAGGUAGGAGCAAGCCCAUGUAAUGCUUUGUAGGUUAGCAGUAAAACCUUGAAAUCAGCCCUUGCCUUAACAGGAAGCCAGUGUAGGGAGGCUAGCACUGGAGUCAUAUGAUCAAAUUUUUGGGUUCUAGUCAGGAUUCUAGCAGCCGUAUUUAGCACUAACUGAAGUUUGUUUAGUGCUUUAUCCGGGUAGCCGGAAAGUAGAGCAUUGCAGUAGUCCAGCCUAGAAGUAACAAAAGCAUGGAUUAAUUUUUCUGCGUCAUUUUUGGACAGAAAGUUUCUGAUUUUUGCAAUGUUACGUAGAUGGAAAAAAAGCUG
Molecule: long non-coding RNA, 1423 nt
Filed under: Salmo salar (Atlantic salmon)
Lineage: Eukaryota; Metazoa; Chordata; Actinopteri; Salmoniformes; Salmonidae
Description: lncRNA (ENSSSAG00000110902.1)
Source: RNAcentral